UCUUUCUUUGUAUAUGGAAGAAUUUAACUCUGUGUUCCAUAAUGUCUAAAUACUCAAAUUUAGAGUUGACAGCCAUACAGCAAAUUAUUCAAGUUGCUGUCAAAAAAAAAUCCCUGCGUUUUCUAGGAUUAAAACUGUGAAUAGAGUACUGGAAGAAAAAAAAGUCAUAGACUCAGAUGCAAAAUGACAACAUUUAAUGGGAUGAUAAGGAAAUAAGACUUGUCAAGAAACCAUAGCCCACUGCAGACUGUUCACGAUGUCAGAUGGUUCAUGAUUUUUUUCCAGGUUUGAUACAGAAGAAUCAGUUUGUUAAAAGAAAUGCUUCUCCAUCUGGGAUUUAAAACAUCAUUUAAACAGUAAACACAUUUGUAUGUAUAUAUAAAUAGAUAUUUAGAAAUAAAAACAUGCAUAUAUAGGCACAUAGACAUGUAUAUACAUAUACACACAUAUGUACAAAUAUAUAUGCCUAAAUUUUUACUGACCUGUCAACUUACAAAACAAAAAUGAGAGAUUUAUAAAAGGUACAUAUAUAGCUGUGAAUUCUUUAAAGCUAUUUUUAAAGAAAUUAAUAUAAUCUUAAUGAUUAUCAGAUUACUCAUGCAGUACACAGCUACACAAGUCUAAUGAAGUACCAGAGACUUUUCUUUCUUCAACUAUUGUCCUAUCUUAUUCAGGUUUUCAUUUUCUUACUAGAUGUGUUUUCAAUGGUUUAUGACGUAAUAAAAUUUCUUUACUUC
Long non-coding RNA from Homo sapiens (human), 737 nucleotides. RefSeq annotates it as long independently transcribed non-coding RNA 2367. Lineage: Eukaryota; Metazoa; Chordata; Mammalia; Primates; Hominidae. The record is from RefSeq and is marked validated.